AGGAUGAAGGUCUUCGGAUUGUAAACUCCUGUUGCCAGGGACGAAUGGCUCCGACCUAAUACGUCGGAGUAUGACGGUACCUGGUGAGGAAGCCCCCGGCUAACUCUGUGCCAGCAGCCGCGGUAAUACAGAGGGGGCGAGCGUUGUUCGGAAUUACUGGGCGUAAAGGGCGCGUAGGCGGCCCGCUAAGUCGAACGUGAAAUCCCCAGGCUCAACCUGGGAACUGCGUCCGAUACUGGCAGGCUUGAAUCCGGGAGAGGGAUGUGGAAUUCCAGGUGUAGCGGUGAAAUGCGUAGAUAUCUGGAGGAACACCGGUGGCGAAGGCGGCAUCCUGGACCGGCAUUGACGCUGAGGCGCGAAAGCUAGGGGAGCAAACGGGAUUAGAUACCCCGGUAGUCCUAGCCCUAAACGAUGAAUGCUUGGUGUGGCGGGUAUCGAUCCCUGCCGUGCCGAAGCUAACGCAUUAAGCAUUCCGCCUGGGGAGUACGGUCGCAAGGCUG
This 500-nucleotide ribosomal RNA is filed under the name uncultured Acidobacteriota bacterium. RNAcentral's name for it is "bacterial SSU rRNA". It matches the Rfam family "Bacterial small subunit ribosomal RNA", at positions 405 to 896 of the family's 1533-position model. The record is from RNAcentral. Lineage: Bacteria; Pseudomonadati; Acidobacteriota.